Molecule: ribosomal RNA, 374 nt
Filed under: uncultured prokaryote
Description: bacterial SSU rRNA
Rfam family: Bacterial small subunit ribosomal RNA
Source: RNAcentral
UACAGAGGUCCCGAGCGUUGUUCGGAUUUACUGGGCGUAAAGGGUGCGUAGGUGGUUGGGUAAGUUUGAGGUGAAAGCUCCGAGCCUAACUCGGAAAAUGCCUUGAAGACUAUCUGUCUAGAGGUUUGGAGGGGAGACUGGAAUUCUCGGUGUAGCAGUGAAAUGCGUAGAUAUCGGGAGGAACACCAGUGGCGAAGGCGAGUCUCUGGACAAUUCCUGACACUGAGACACGAAAGCCAAGGGAGCAAACGGGAUUAGAUACCCCGGUAGACUUGGCUGUAAACGCUGCGCACUAGCUGUGAGCGGAUUCGACCCCGCUCGUGGCGAAGUUAACACGAUAAGUGCGCCGCCUGGGAAGUACGGUCGCAAGAUUA